CAGUGAUAAACUGGAGGAAGGUGGGGAUGACGUCAAGUCAUCAUGGCCCUUACGAGUAGGGCUACACACGUGCUACAAUGGCAUAUACAAAGAGAAGCGACCUCGCGAGAGCAAGCGGACCUCAUAAAGUAUGUCGUAGUCCGGAUUGGAGUCUGCAACUCGACUCCAUGAAGUCGGAAUCGCUAGUAAUCGUAGAUCAGAAUGCUACGGUGAAUACGUUCCCGGGCCUUGUACACACCGCCCGUCACACCAUGGGAGUGGGUUGCAAAAGAAGUAGGUAGCUUAACCUUCGGGAGGGCGCUUACCACUUUGUGAUUCAUGACUGGGGUGAAGUCGUAACAAGGUAACCGUAGGGGAACCUGCGGUUGGAUCACCUCCUUA
Molecule: ribosomal RNA, 381 nt
Filed under: Klebsiella aerogenes
Lineage: Bacteria; Pseudomonadati; Pseudomonadota; Gammaproteobacteria; Enterobacterales; Enterobacteriaceae
Also listed under: 3 other names
Description: bacterial SSU rRNA
Rfam family: Bacterial small subunit ribosomal RNA
Source: RNAcentral